ACAGCAGCAGCCGCGGGAAUACGAAGGGUGCAAGCGUUAAUCGGAAUUACUGGGCGUAAAGCGUGCGUAGGCGGUUUGUUAAGUCUGUUGUGAAAUCCCCGGGCUCAACCUGGGAAUGGCAAUGGAUACUGGCAAGCUAGAGUGUGUCAGAGGAUGGUGGAAUUCCCGGUGUAGCGGUGAAAUGCGUAGAGAUCGGGAGGAACAUCAGUGGCGAAGGCGGCCAUCUGGGACAACACUGACGCUGAGGCACGAAAGCGUGGGGAGCAAACAGGAUUAGAUACCCGGGUAGUCCCUGUCUCUUAUAC
Molecule: ribosomal RNA, 305 nt
Filed under: uncultured bacterium
Lineage: Bacteria
Description: partial 16S ribosomal RNA
Rfam family: Bacterial small subunit ribosomal RNA
Source: RNAcentral